UCUUUCCAAAUAUUCUCUAGCUUUUUAUAGACUUAGAAGAGGCUUGAGAGUGAGUUUUGAUCGUUGGAAGGGUUGAAAUAGCCGUUAGAAGCAAAAACUAGCUGUUGGAGAAAUGCAAAAAAACUAGCCGUUAGUACAGUCCCAGGCUACGAGACGACUCGAUUUUCAUUUGAAGUCGACUCGAUUUUCGAGUCGAUUUGAUUUUCAUUUUGGGUCAGCUCGGUCUCAGACAUGCAGAAUUCAGCUUUGUCUUGCGAAUGGAGUCGGCUCUCUUUAGAAAGGAGUCGACUCGUCUUGGCCAAACAUGGAAAAAUAUGUUCUUUGAAGUGCUUUGGCUUGCCAACUUAAGGAGAUCUUUUUCAUGGAUGAAUUUUUCAAUUUAAGCACAUGAAAAGACCUACAUUCAUUUUUGAAAUACAUAGUUAAAUUCAUAAUUACUCAAAGUUUGGCGAUCAUCAAAAUCAAUCAUGGGGUCAACAAUCUCUUCUUUUUUUAUGAUGGCAAAAUUUUGAGUAUAUACGUAAAAUUAAGAAUAAUAUGUUUUAACUCAUUUUGCUAAUAUGAAUCAUGAAGUAAUGAGAUAAACACAUAUGAACAUACACUUCAUGAAUGUUUCAAUUUAUCCAAAAAUUUUAGAUUUAAUACAUUUGAUACCAACUUUCAUACAUAUACAUAUACUCAUUUUAAAGUGAUCAUUUUAAGCAAACAUAUGAGCAUAUCAUUCAAAUUAAGAGUCUUUCAAGCUAAUUAGGCAUAUACUCAUCAUCACUUUCUCCCUUUUUGACAACAUCAAAAAGCUCAAGGGAAAGAUCAAGAAAUAUCAUCAAAAUCAAUUUAAAUGUAAGAAUAUAUCAAAUUCAAAAUGCAUCAAAUUCAAAAAAGGUAUCAAAACUUGUCUUUUUUUUUUUAAUUCAAAAUAUUUUCAAAACAUUGUUUCCUUUUCAGAAAUUAGCUUGAAUUCAGAUACCAAAAAGUUUCUCCCCUUUUUGAAUGAAUUUGAUUCUAUAAUUAGAUUUUCAAUCAAGUAAUUGCUUUGAGCUUGUAAAGGGAAUAGAACUUUCCAAAAGAUUUGAGCAGUAAAAUCAAGCAUUGCAUUUACUUCAAUAUUCAUUCUUUCCUUUUCUUAAUAUAAAUCUAUCAUUUAAAUUCAGAAAAGAUAUGUAUCGAAAAUGUAUCGAGCAAAUCACAGAUAGUAUUAAAGCAUAGUGAUCAACGCAUUCAAGCAUUAGAGCAAAAUCUUUGCAAAUCAAUUGAUAAUCAAAUCAUUCAAAUCAUGGAGUGUGAUUAUUUUAAGCAUAGAUAAAUUAUCAAAAUCAAGCUUUUAAACUAAGUAAUUUCAAUAAUCAAGAUGGUAUGAUGUGAGAAUAAGUUUAGCGUUUACCGAACAUCAUCACCCAUCCAUCCAAAGCAUCCAUUUCCAAGAAUUGAUUCUUUUUAUGCCUUUGGAUGCUUGGUGCAUCUGCAAAGUCAUUUUCUAGAUUUUGGUAUCCAAGUUUUCUUGGAUCCAUUUGAGUUAGUGCACAUUGUUUCUUUUGGAAUCCAAAUUUGCUUGACACAAGUAUGACCAUUUCUAUAGAUAUUGCAUUCAGAAAGUUUAUGGCCUACUUUGUUAUAUUUAAAGCAAACUAUAGAAUGAUUUUCAUGAUAAACUCUAGUAAACAUAUUUUUGAUAAAUUUCUAUUUUUGCAAGAUAUUAAAACCAAUUUCUAUUUUGUCAAAAACAACCUUUUGAUCAUUCAAAAUCAUUUAAAGCUUUUGAGAACUUAAUAUGAAUUGGUCAACUAUAGACUUUAAUAUUUCAAUCUUUUUUCUUAAUUUAGUAUUUUCUUUCAAAAGAGAUUUUUUAGAUUUUAAGAGUUUUUCUUUUUUUUUCAACUAAGGAUUUUUCAGAUUUUAUUAAAUUCUCUUUCUUCUUAGCUCAUGCUUUUUUUUUAUUCAAAAGAUCUUCUUUUUCACUUAAUAUUUUAUUCUUUUCUUUAGUUAAAAAUUGAUUUGAUUUCUUUAGCUCUUUGUUUUUCAGUCUUAUUUUUUUGUAUUCAUCCAUUAGCUCAUGAAAGGCUUUAAACAAUUCAUUAAAAGUAAAUUUGGAAGAGUUUUCAAUAUUUACCUCAUUAUUUUGAGCCAUGAGGCAAAGACUUGCUAUACUUUCUUCCUCCUUUCCAUUUUUUUUCUUUGCUUUGUUCCCCCUUAAUUGAUGCUUUUUUUCUCCUUUGUUUCUUCUUUUUUUUCUUCUUUUCAUCCUCAUGAGCCAUGAGGUAUAAGUUUAGAGAAGCCUCCAUAUCUUUCUUAGAGCAUGAUUCUUCUUCUUGAUGUGCUCCCUCAUAAGUUGUUUCCAAUUGAUCUCAAAUUUGUUUUGCUGAAAUAUAUGAAGAAAUUGCAUUAAAUUUAUUUAUAUCUAAUG
This 2401-nucleotide long non-coding RNA is filed under the name Elaeis guineensis (African oil palm). Its description in RNAcentral is "long non-coding RNA (EGUI_LNC016976)". Lineage: Eukaryota; Viridiplantae; Streptophyta; Magnoliopsida; Arecales; Arecaceae. The record is from RNAcentral.